Molecule: ribosomal RNA, 406 nt
Filed under: uncultured bacterium
Lineage: Bacteria
Description: partial 16S ribosomal RNA
Rfam family: Bacterial small subunit ribosomal RNA
Source: RNAcentral
AUUGAACGCUGGCGGCAGGCCUAACACAUGCAAGUCGAACGAGUGGCGGACGGGUGAGUAAUGUCUGGGAAACUGCCUGAUGGAGGGGGAUAACUACUGGAAACGGUAGCUAAUACCGCAUACCAUCAGAUGUGCCCAGAUGGGAUUGGCUAGUUGGUGGGGUAAAGGCUCACCAAGGCGACGAACCCUAGCUGGUCUGAGAGGAUGAACAGCCACACUGGAACUGAGCCAGGGUCCAGACUCCGACGGCAGGCCGCAGGGGGGAAUAUUGCACAAUGGGCGCAAGCCUGAUGCAGCGAUGCCGCGUGUAUGAAGAGGGCCUUCGGGUUGUAAAGUACUUUCAGCGGGGAGGCGUUACCCGCAGAAGAAGCACCGGCUAACUCCGUGCCAGCAGCCGCGGUAAUUC